This 781-nucleotide non-coding RNA is filed under the name Peirates lepturoides. Lineage: Eukaryota; Metazoa; Arthropoda; Insecta; Hemiptera; Reduviidae. The record is from RNAcentral.
UUCUCUGGAGAAGUUUGAUCUUUGCUUAAGAAAUUUACUCUAAGGUCGUUAAACAUGUUAAUUUUUGUGUGAUUUUUAUCUUCUUGAGGAGAUUUUUGUUUUAUUCGCAGUUUUUUAUUUUAUUUUUUUAGGAAACUAAGAAUUAGUCAAUUUUUAUAGUUCUGACAAAGUUUGUGCCAGCAGUCGCGGUUAUACAAUAAGAGCAAGUAAAUUUUAUUGGAGUUACAUCUAUGAUGAAAUUAUUUAAGUUUAUGUAUUUUUUUAUCGGGUGAAAUCGUUUAGGAUAUAUAAGUCUUAUAUUUUGAUGUUGAAUGUGAAAUUUUGUAGUGGGACUAGGAUUAGAUACCCUAUUAUUAUAAAAUGUUAAGAGCUCUCUUGGUAUUAUUAGUUAUGAUCUUUAAAUUAAAAGGAUUUGGCGGUAAUUUAGUCUUUUCAGAGGAACCUGCCCUGUAAUUGAUGAUCCACGAUAGAUUUUACCUUAUUUUAGCUUGUAUACCUCUGUCAUUGAAUGUCUUAAUAGGGUUAAUUUUCUUUGAUUUUUAAUGAAGUUAAUGUCAAGUCAAGGUGCAGCAGUAUUAAGGAAGAGGUGGGUUACAAUAAAGAUAUUUAUGGAUUGGGAGUUGAAACACUCUCUUGAAAUUGGAUUUGAAAGUAAUUUUUAUUAAUAUAUAAAUUUGAUUUAUGCUCUAAAUUAUGUACACAUCGCCCGUCACUCUCGUUAUUUUAAAAUGAGAUAAGUCGUAACAAAGUAGGCCUACCGGAAGGUGGGCCUGGUAAGAAU